Molecule: long non-coding RNA, 1079 nt
Organism: Aphis gossypii (cotton aphid)
Lineage: Eukaryota; Metazoa; Arthropoda; Insecta; Hemiptera; Aphididae
Exons: 3
Source: RefSeq, a predicted model, not a curated record
UUAAAAUUUUAAAUAAAAAACCGACACGACAAUACUAGAAACAAAUAAAAUAAAAUAAAUUAUAAUCUAAAAGAUUUAUGAGACAGUACCUGAUCGCCUAAAAUACAUUUCAAAACGUUAAAUCAAUGCCAUUCACCAAUCAUGAGCAACCGUGAAUAGUUGUUGUGAAGUACAGCUAAAAUAAAUAAAUGAUAGAAAAGAGGAACAGCUGAAUGAUUCCGGUACAACCGAUAACAGCGAAGCAGUAAUCGAAGAAAAAAACCGCCGAGCAGCACCUAUUAACAAAAUAGCAAUAACAUGGUAUACAAACACAGGAAACCCAAUAAAUACCAACAUCACCUACAGAGAGACACAAGAACUACAGCAGUAACUAUGCAUAUACUAUCAAAUGUGAACUAAAUUUUUCUCACAAGUUUCAAUCUGAAGACAUAAGUGAACGUAAAAUUAAAUGAACAAGAAGGGACUAGGCUGAUUUUUAUAACUUAUUGGGACACGAGGGCACAAAAAUUAAUCGUUUUUUCUUUUAGAUAGACAAGAUAAAAUGCUGGAUAAUUCUAGCUAAACGUCAAUAGCAGCAAAGGAGAUACAGAGGAAAUAACAUAUCUUGCAGCACAAAUCCACAAGUACAAGAGAAAUAAAACAAGAAAACCUAGAGUGGAAGCCAUGAUCAAGACAACCAGCUGAAUAUUAUUUUAUUAUUUUGAUAUAAAACCCGUAACAUUCGCCAUCACCAUUUUAAAAAUUAUUUUAUAUAUAAACAUCCCUGUAAGAAUUACGUAAAAUCAAAAACCAAAUUCCAUAUAAUAAUAAUUAUAAUGUGUGGAAAUAAACAACCUCAAUUCAGCAUCAUAAUAAAAAACCCAUUUUUCAUCGAACACAUUUGCAAUAACUUCCAUUAGAAUCAAUUUAAAAAGAGAGUAGAUAAUUAGAGUAAAACAUUUUGUACAAAAUGUUUCUUUCGAAAUUUGAAAAAAAAAAAAUAUUAUAAGUUUACAUUUCACACAGCAUAUACAAUAGCCUUUACAAUUUUUAAUAACUUUAGAAUGACUCUAGCAAUACUUUUUAAAUAAAAUGAUAAU